This is a long non-coding RNA of Prosopis cineraria, 611 nucleotides long. RefSeq lists it as uncharacterized. NCBI's taxonomy places the organism in Eukaryota, Viridiplantae, Streptophyta, Magnoliopsida, Fabales, Fabaceae. The transcript is spliced from 4 exons. The record is from RefSeq and is a predicted model, not a curated record.
AUCUUGAGGGUAGAACUUGCUUACAAAUGCUGUUAUUGCUGCUUCAACUUCACGCGAUAGCAUUGGGCAUUUGGAGCUCUUAUCAGUUCUCACAAGAUUAGGCACGGGAGAGACUUUCAUUUCAUGUGCUAGGCAUUUCAUUCUAGCUCGGAUAGACAAAAAGGGCACGAUUACUUCUCCACAUGUUCAGGAACUUGUUGAAAAAGUUAGUGCUCUCUCAGAGGAAGCCUCUAGAGGUGAGCUUCUAAAGAAUGAAGAUAUCUUGAAGAAGGCAUUAGGCAAUAAGGAUCACCCUGAUCGUGUUAGGGGUGUCGGCAUCGAUGUUACCAGAAAACAAAUUGUCGGUGAAAAGAAGGCUCCAAAAAAGGAUGUCGAUGUUGAGCUUGAGGCAUUGAAAGCACGAGUAGUGCAGCAAGAAGAAUUUUUUACGAUAAUAAUGAAGAGCCAUGGACUUAGAAAGUCAACCUCGGAGCCUGUCCAUACUCAAAAAGAUAGCUAUACCGUGCUUCAGCCUUCUCCUCGUCAUCUCUUAGAGGGUGAGGCUGACUGUUCGUCCCGGCCCAAUAGCCCAAGUAGACAUAAAGUUACCACAAAGAAAAUGUACAAUGUCC